AGAGUUUGAUCCUGGCUCAGGAUGAACGCUAGCGACAGGCUUAACACAUGCAAGUCGAGGGGCAGCGGUGGUGAAGGCUUGCCUUUACCAGCCGGCGACCGGCGCACGGGUGAGUAACACGUAUGCAACCUGCCUGCCACAGCCGGAUAAUCGGGAGAAAUUCCGUCUAAUACGGCAUAAUGCAUCGACGGGACAUCCUGUUGGUGCCAAAGGUUGAUUCCGGUGGCGGAUGGGCAUGCGUCGCAUUAGUUAGUUGGCGGUGUAACGGACCACCAAGACGACGAUGCGUAGGGGUUCUGAGAGGAAGGUCCCCCACACUGGUACUGAGACACGGACCAGACUCCUACGGGAGGCAGCAGUGAGGAAUAUUGGUCAAUGGGCGGGAGCCUGAACCAGCCAAGUCGCGUGAGGGAUGACGGCCCUAUGGGUUGUAAACCUCUUUUGCCGGGGAGCAAAGUGCCGCACGUGUGCGGUUUGGAGAGUACCCGGAGAAAAAGCAUCGGCUAACUCCGUGCCAGCAGCCGCGGUAAUACGGAGGAUGCGAGCGUCAUCCGGAUUUAUUGGGUUUAAAGGGUGCGUAGGCGGACGCUUAAGUCAGCGGUAAAAUUGCGGGGCUCAACCUCGUCGAGCCGUUGAAACUGGGUGCCUUGAGUGGGCGAGAAGUACGCGGAAUGCGUGGUGUAGCGGUGAAAUGCAUAGAUAUCACGCAGAACUCCGAUUGCGAAGGCAGCGUACCGGCGCCCAACUGACGCUGAAGCACGAAGGCGUGGGUAUCGAACAGGAUUAGAUACCCUGGUAGUCCACGCAGUAAACGAUGAAUGCUAGUUGUCCGGGGCGAUUGAGUUCUGGGUGACACAGCGAAAGCGUUAAGCAUUCCACCUGGGGAGUACGCCGGCAACGGUGAAACUCAAAGGAAUUGACGGGGGCCCGCACAAGCGGAGGAACAUGUGGUUUAAUUCGAUGAUACGCGAGGAACCUUACCCGGGCUCAAACGCAGGAGGGAUGUUUUUGAAAGGAGGCAGCCAGCAAUGGUCUCCUGCGAGGUGCUGCAUGGUUGUCGUCAGCUCGUGCCGUGAGGUGUCGGCUUAAGUGCCAUAACGAGCGCAACCCCUACCUACAGUUGCCAUCGCGUGAUGGCGGGCACUCUGUGGGGACUGCCUGCGCAAGCAGUGAGGAAGGCGGGGAUGACGUCAAAUCAGCACGGCCCUUACGUCCGGGGCGACACACGUGUUACAAUGGCAGGUACAGCGGGAAGCCACCCGGCGACGGGGCGCGGAACCCGAAAACCUGUCUCAGUUCGGAUUGGAGUCUGCAACCCGGCUGUAUGAAGCUGGAAUCGCUAGUAAUCGCAGAUCAGAAUGCUGCGGUGAAUACGUUCCCGGGUCUUGCACACACCGCCCGUCAAG
This 1406-nucleotide ribosomal RNA is filed under the name uncultured bacterium. RNAcentral describes it as "bacterial SSU rRNA". It matches the Rfam family "Bacterial small subunit ribosomal RNA". The record is from RNAcentral.